UUUCAUGGCAGCACCAACCUGUACUUGAUCGCCUUUUUCCAUGUCUGUUCAGCACUUUUAUCACUCAGACAAUUCUCGAUAGCUCCAUAGACAUUUGAUACAUUCUUGCAAAUUUUAUGAGGAGUCAGUAUAUGAUAUGCUUUGAAAUGAUAUUGAAAAUUUACUUUAUCUCUGAAUUUGAGCACUUGCAUCCUAGUAUUUGAGCUCCUUUUACCGGC
Molecule: unclassified non-coding RNA, 218 nt
Filed under: Hevea brasiliensis (rubber tree)
Lineage: Eukaryota; Viridiplantae; Streptophyta; Magnoliopsida; Malpighiales; Euphorbiaceae
Source: RNAcentral